This 254-nucleotide ribosomal RNA is filed under the name uncultured bacterium. RNAcentral's name for it is "partial 16S ribosomal RNA". It matches the Rfam family "Bacterial small subunit ribosomal RNA", at positions 524 to 776 of the family's 1533-position model. The record is from RNAcentral.
UACGUAGGGGGCUAGCGUUGUCCGGAUUUAUUGGGCGUAAAGAGCUCGUAGGCGGUUUGGCAAGUCGGGUGUGAAAACUCCGGGCUCAACUCGGAGACGCCACUCGAUACUGCCAUGACUUGAGUCCGGUAGGGGAGUGUGGAAUUCCUGGUGUAGCGGUGGAAUGCGUAGAGAUCGGGAAGAACAUCAGUGGCGAAGGCGGCCUGCUGGGCUGUUGCUGACGCUGAGGCGCGACAGCGUGGGGAGCAAACAGG